Molecule: ribosomal RNA, 468 nt
Filed under: uncultured bacterium
Lineage: Bacteria
Description: partial 16S ribosomal RNA
Rfam family: Bacterial small subunit ribosomal RNA
Source: RNAcentral
GACGAACGCUGGCGGCGUGCUUAACACAUGCAAGUCGAACGGAAAGGCCCUGCUUUUGUGGGGUGCUCGAGUGGCGAACGGGUGAGUAACACGUGAGUAACCUGCCCUUGACUUUGGGAUAACUUCAGGAAACUGGGGCUAAUACCGGAUAGGAGCUCCUGCUGCAUGGUGGGGGUUGGAAAGUUUCGGCGGUUGGGGAUGGACUCGCGGCUUAUCAGCUUGUUGGUGGGGUAGUGGCUUACCAAGGCUUUGACGGGUAGCCGGCCUGAGAGGGUGACCGGCCACAUUGGGACUGAGAUACGGCCCAGACUCGUACGGGAGGCAGCAGUGGGGAAUAUGGCACAAUGGGCGGAAGCCUGAUGCAGCAACGCCGCGUGCGGGAUGACGGCCGUAGGGUUGUAAACCGCUUUCGCCUGUGACGAAGCGUGAGUGACGGUAAUGGGUAAAGAAGCACCGGCUAACUACGUG